This 265-nucleotide long non-coding RNA is filed under the name Medicago truncatula (barrel medic). RNAcentral describes it as "long non-coding RNA (MTRU_LNC003806)". Lineage: Eukaryota; Viridiplantae; Streptophyta; Magnoliopsida; Fabales; Fabaceae. The record is from RNAcentral.
UACUCCCUCCGUCCCUUAAUAAGUGACCCAUUUAGAAUUUUUUUAAUUUUGACCUAACUGACUUUGACCGUAUUUUUCAACUAAUAUACAAAGAUAAAUAACAUCAUAUAAGAUGUCGUUAGAUUCGUCUCGAUAAGUAUUUUCAAAAUAUCAAAUUUUCAUAAUUUUUUCCAAUAUAUUAUUCAAGAUAUUUAAACUCAAAAUUACGCAUUGGUAUGCGUAAUUGGGUCAACUAGGUCACUUAUUAAGGGACGGAGGGAGUAAU